GUGUUAGUAGUGCUGACCACAAGAGAAGGGUCAUUUUGCUCACUGUAUGCAAAAUGAGCCCCUACUUUCGUUUUGUUUAUUUAUUUUUUGCUAUUAUUGACAAGAGUACAAAACUUUAAGGAGGGAGGUAGUUUAUCAGGAAGACUACAAUGGGCCACAGUGUAAUAUUCAGGUGAACAGCAUCCACAUAUUCCAGUGCACAUGAACUUUGUACCCUCUUGUGUUGGCAAUAGGUAUUUUACAUUUCCCCCUCAUUUUUUCUCCUAGCAGCUCAAGGUUGGGGAGCAGUGUACACUAUGACACUAUGAAGUAGGUGAGGUGCAGAGACCAAAGGUCACUCGGUAAGCUUUAUAUGGCAGUGUGGGGGUUUGAACCAGUGUCUUCCCCAGUCCUAGUCCUUAUCUGAUAUUCUAACCACUGCAUUUCAAUCAUGCUAGCUCCCGUCUGCUGAAUUCGCACAGCUGUUAAAGGCAAAGGAAUAAAAGUUGGCAACUGGGCAGUAUACCAGUGAACUUCAGCACCUAAGCAGAAGCCGAAAGUCAAAAGGUAUAAGGUAUUGCCAAACUUUUAACAGGAGGAAAGGACUUCUCUUUUAAUAGUGACACAUGGGGAAACUUCAUUAGUUGUAGCAUCUGCCCUCCUUGUGAGAAGGUGCAUCUGCUGGAGAAAUGCUGCUGAUCUGUUAAGCCCAUCAAACACAUGGAAAAUGAUUUAAGUAUUGCCAAACCUUGGUGGUGAUCUUUCAGAUGAUAGGAACUGGAGAGAAUGAACUUAACAUUUAGUAAAUAUGUUGGAAUGGUAGGUUUUAAUUUUUUACACUUCUGUUUUCAGUACUUGUACCCUGCUCUUAUAAGUGGAGUGGUUUUCAGAGUGGCUUAAAUUGUACUUUAAACUUAAGUAGCAAAAUAUAUUGAAUGGUAGUUUGCCGUGGACCAGGAGGCAAUGCAGUUGAAACUCAGCUGUCCCACUUGCUUAUUUAUGGCAUUUUUAUAGUGUUUAAAUUACCAAAGUCUCCCAAGUUAGUGGUCUGCAGUAGUUGCAAAAUACAACUAUGUUGGAAAGGGGCUAGAACCUGCAAACGUCUCUGCAGUCAUGAACCCUGUUCUGUUUCCCAUCUAGGCACACAUAAGAGCCAGGCUUUUGUUCGGUUCAUCAAAAUUGCUGCAAUUAAAAAUAAGGGCAUUGGCUGAAUUUUACAAGAGUAUUUGUAUCCAUUCUUCAGUCAAAAAGGCUCCCAGAGCAGCUUACAUACAAUCAAUGAAACAGGACAGUUUCUGCCUGCAAGCUUAUAAUGUAAACAACACACAAGGGGGAUUUCUCCUUGCCCACCCUCCUUUCCCC
This is a non-coding RNA of Podarcis lilfordi (Lilford's wall lizard), 1341 nucleotides long. The record is from the annotation of a GenBank genome assembly. Lineage: Eukaryota; Metazoa; Chordata; Lepidosauria; Squamata; Lacertidae.